UGAAGAUCGCACUCGUCCUCCUGGUCUUGUCUGUCGUGGUGGCCCUGCCCGGAGCAGAUUCCUGGCGAGUAAGAAGAAUAGUUCGUGCUGUGGCUAGAACGGCGACAAGGGUUGCCCGUACUGUAGGCAGGGCUGUUGUUCGUGUCGUCGGUAAGCGAGAUAUGACUGUGGGCGACAUUGAUGAUGACGUUGAUGUCAGUGACAAGGAGAUACUGGAGGCAUUGGCAACCAGAGACGUGGAGGACCUCAUCGAGAACGGCUUCAUCUCAGGGGCAGACAAUGAUGACUUCAGUCUCCACCAACGUCAACGCAGAGAGGAUUUGGAUCACGAGGGAGAGUGAAGCGUUUCUGAAGACUCCUUGGCACCACCCCAUACCCCGGAUCCUGUUCGAAAUGUGGAAUUGAUAACAUGAAUAAAGUCAGGGCAUUAUAAA
RNAcentral lists this long non-coding RNA (434 nucleotides) under Haliotis rufescens (red abalone). RNAcentral's name for it is "uncharacterized LOC124133586". Lineage: Eukaryota; Metazoa; Mollusca; Gastropoda; Lepetellida; Haliotidae. The record is from RNAcentral.